AUAUUGACUGUGCUAAGGUAGCAUAAUAAUUUGCCUUUUAAUUGAAGGCUAGAAUGAAUGGCUUGACGAGAAAUAAGCUGUCUUAUUUUAUAACAAUGAAUUUUACGUAAGAGUUAAAAGGCUCUUAUUCUCUAAAGGGACGAUAAGACCCUAUAAAGCUUUACUCAAUAAGGUUUAAUAAAAUAAAGGACCAGCUAAAUUAUAUGAGUUAUGCUGGGGCGGCAGAUAGUAAAACACUAUUGGAAAGAACAUGUUGAAUGGAGUUAAUGUAACGUUGGUUCAAAACUAAAUAAUAAGCUACUUUAGGGAUAACAGCACAAUUAUUUCAGAGAGCUCUUAUCGGCGAAAUAGAUUGUGACCUCGAUGUUGGAUUAA
RNAcentral lists this ribosomal RNA (375 nucleotides) under Tylos minor. RNAcentral describes it as "partial 16S large subunit ribosomal RNA". It matches the Rfam family "Bacterial large subunit ribosomal RNA", at positions 1939 to 2540 of the family's 2925-position model. The record is from RNAcentral. Lineage: Eukaryota; Metazoa; Arthropoda; Malacostraca; Isopoda; Tylidae.